GACGAACGCUGGCGGCGUGCCUAAUACAUGCAAGUCGAACGCAGUGGGGACGGGUGAGUAACACGUGGGUAACCUCCCAUCAGAGGGGAGCACACUUGGAAACAGGUGAUAAAACCGAUACUGAUGGAUGGACCCGCGGUGCAUUAGCUAGUUGGGGAGGUAACGGAUCACCAAGGCCACGAGGCAUAGCCGACCUGAGAGGGUGAUCUGGCAGUCGGGGACUCAGACACGGCCCAGACUCCUACGGGAGGCAGCAGUAGGGAAUCUUCGGCAAUGGACGAAAGUCUGACCGAGCAACGCCGCGUGAGUGAAGAAGGUUUUCGGAUCGUAAAACUCUGUUGUUAGAGAAGCGGUAUCUAACCAGAAAGCCACGGCUAACUACGUGCCAGCAGCCGCGGUAAUAC
Molecule: ribosomal RNA, 404 nt
Filed under: uncultured bacterium
Lineage: Bacteria
Description: partial 16S ribosomal RNA
Rfam family: Bacterial small subunit ribosomal RNA
Source: RNAcentral